Molecule: ribosomal RNA, 274 nt
Filed under: uncultured bacterium
Lineage: Bacteria
Description: partial 16S ribosomal RNA
Rfam family: Bacterial small subunit ribosomal RNA
Source: RNAcentral
AUACAGAGGGUGCAAGCGUUAAUCGGAAUUACUGGGCGUAAAGCGCGCGUAGGCGGCUACUUAAGUCAGAUGUGAAAUCCCCGGGCUCAACCUGGGAACUGCAUUUGAAACUGGUGAGCUAGAGUAUGGUAGAGGUAAGUGGAAUCCCAGGUGUAGCGGUGAAAUGCGUAGAUAUCUGGAGGAACAUCAGUGGCGAAGGCGACUUACUGGACCAAUACUGACACUGAGGUGCGAAAGCGUGGGGAGCAAACAGGAUUAGAAACCCGAGUAGUCC